UUCCUGUCUCCAGCUUGCCGAGAGCAGAUCUUGAGACUUCUCAGCCUCCAUAAUCGUGCAGCCACCAUGUUGUGAUGAUCCUCAAACAGCCCUGUGGAGAGGCCAAUGCAUGAAGAGGCCAUGUGGAAAGGAACAAACUUGCCAGCCGGAUGAGUGAGCCACCUUGAAAGCAGAUUCUCCUGCCUCAGUCAAAACUUCAGAUGAUUCCUGGCCCCAAUCUCAAAGUCUUUCAGCUGAGACCUCAGAUAACGUGAAGAAACGAACCAUCUCUGCUGUGCCCUAUUUGAAUAUCUGACCCACAGAAACCAUGAAAUAAUAAAUUGUUCUUUCAAACGAC
RNAcentral lists this long non-coding RNA (337 nucleotides) under Equus caballus (horse). RNAcentral describes it as "lncRNA (ENSECAG00000053762.1)". Lineage: Eukaryota; Metazoa; Chordata; Mammalia; Perissodactyla; Equidae. The record is from RNAcentral.